Felis catus (domestic cat) is the source of this 4323-nucleotide long non-coding RNA. RefSeq lists it as uncharacterized. Lineage: Eukaryota; Metazoa; Chordata; Mammalia; Carnivora; Felidae. The record is from RefSeq and is a predicted model, not a curated record. The transcript is spliced from 3 exons.
UCCGGGAGGGGGCGGGCGAAGCGCCGCCUCGGGCCCGGCCGCUAAUUGGCUGCUGACCAGAGCCCCCUGCGCCACGGGCGCCGCUCGGGACGCCGAUUGGUGAAUCUGGGGGAGGGGCGUGCCCUGCCGGAGCUACUGGGAGGGGAGGGCGAGAUAGGGGGAGAGCAGAGGAGCGGAGGGGAGAGGAGGGGCGGCUGCCGGGACCCGCCUUCGCCCGAGCGCUGUGCCUCGGGUUGGGAACAGGUGACCAGGCCUGGGUCUGCCUCGGCCGGGUGGCGAGAUUCGCCGAGGAAGCGAAUGAAGAAAAUGAGAGCCAGAGAAGAGAAGGAUUUCUUCAAGGUCACACGGUGAAUAUGUCACAGCCAGAACUAGAACUCAGGUCCCUUCACGAAUGGCUUGGUGGCUUUCCUGUUACACAUGGACCCCGAAGGUCCUUCAUGUUGCACACGAGUGUGCUUUCAGCCAGAAUUUUGUGGUGCUCAGUGGAAGUCUGGAGCCUGUAUGUUUCUUCAUCUCUCACCACUGCACCGGUUGGCCCCACCCUCAGAUCAAACAGCAUGAUGGCCCUGGAGAGAUGAGCUGGAGUAGAUGAGGCAGGUGAAUGGUGCUGUGUGAUGUCUGCUCUGUUUUUCUCUUUGUCUCAGCUCAGGCUGCUGUGAUAGCAAGAUACCAGAGACUGGGUAGCUUAUAAACAACAGAAAUUUAUUUCACUGUUCUGGAGGCUGAAAGUCCAAGAUCAAGGCACCAACAGAUUGGGCGUCUGGCUUACAGAUGGUCAUUUUCUCCCUGUGUCCUCACAUGGCCUCUUUUAUAAGGGCACUAAUCCCCUUCAUGAGGGCCCCACCCUCAUGACCUAAUCAUCUCCCAAAGGCCCUGCCUCCUAAUGCCAUCACAUUGGGGAUUAGGUUUCAAUUUAUCAAUUUGGGGAGAACAGAAACAUUCAGUCUACAGCAUUCUCCUUCUCAGCUACUCUUUGGGAUCACAGCUGUCCCACACCCCUUCCCUCCACUCUCCUCCAUCUCCCCUAGUAAGUCCUGCCCAACUAUCAAGGCCAGCUCACAUGCCACCUCGUCAGUGAGGGCUUUGGCGCUUGACUGGGGAAGUGAGUUUCAUCCGCAUGCUUUCCCACGCUCCUUCCUUGAGUUCCUCUGGAGAACUCGCUCAUGUUAUGUGGUUUGGUGGGGCUGUCAAUCAUAGCACUGCCCCUGCCAGAGGCAUGGGCACACAACAAGGGCUGAUAAAUCAGAGGAUCCAACCUCACUGGCCACAGAGAUUGGAUCAGUGAUGGGUAUGUGACUCAGAUAGGACCAAUCAGAUUCCUCCCUGAGACUCAUAUGCAAAAAUUGCAAGAGAGAAGCGUUCUUUUUGCUGUCCUUGCUUACCUGUGUGUGAUGCUAUGAGUCUGUAGCAACUGGCGGCCAUCUUGCUUGCAUCAAAAGAGCACUUUUAGAAGAAGACCAUAUACAGGCAGAGGCUGAAUGACACCAUUGCUUCAGCAUCUGCAUUCAGCUAUACCUGAAGCAGAUACUCCUGCCUUCCCAGUUAGGUGAGCCAGUAAAUCCUCUUUUUGUUUGAGCUGGUUUGAAAUGGGGUUCUCCUCCUUGCAUCUGAAGGACACCUGACCAGUAUAACUUCCCUGACACCCCCUGGUGUCCCCUACCAUGUCAUUCUUUAGAGUUAGUAAUUCAUACUCCUGUGCUGCAUUGUUGCCGCUUGCUACUGUCCUCCUCCUCAGUAGGACCUCCCUGCUCCUUUUUCCGCCCACAGCUCUGAGACCAUAUAUCAUUAAAAUUAGUGAAGGGUGAUUGAGUGAAUCGGGGAGGGAUGAGUGCAUAACGGCCACCUUGACACCCUUUUGGCAGCUGCUAACACUUCUACUAAGGAUAAGCUGGGUCUGAACUUACCCUGCAAGGAGACUUGAAGAAAACAAACAGUUAGUCAGCCCCACCAGCCAACAUUCCUACUUCAGGAAUGAGGCUGGGCUUGGGCAGUGCCUUGAUGAUCCAGUUCUGACCUGCCAGUGGCUUAGAGAACAGACAGAACUGUUUCCGGAGGAAUAAGAGAGCCCGAAGCCAUAGCACUGGCACUUGUCAGGGACAGAGCUGCCAUCAGAGCACUUCUUGGCCCCUUGGAGGGUAGUCAGGAGCUGGCUAGGAGGUCAGAGGCAGGACCCCUUGAGAUGCUGGAGCCACAAUGAAGACAGGGGUCCAUUUGGAAUGGAUGGAUGGAAAGCUGACUUCCUGCCAGGAAUCUUAACCAUGCAUAGUCUCAGCUCUUGGGGAAAAGUUCAGAUUUAUUUAGUGUGAUGCAACCCUGGGACAUAGGCACUGUUUUCCAUGUGGCUGCAAGAAUAAAAGUUAUGAUGGAUUUUUAAAAAAAUGGAAUCAAAUGAUCAACAUGUUUCCAGGUCUGCAACUUGUAGAAAGCUUGGUGGACAGUUGAAGAAAUGUUUCCCUAUAAUAAAUUAGAAAGUGUUUUAUUUUCCUUCAGCUAAUCUUUCAUAAUAAUUUCGAUUGUGGCAUGGGAAGGCAGGAUUCUUUUAAAUAAUUCUUCCCUGAAACAUAACAUCUGCCGGUCCCAAACUGCCAGAAAGGACCAUUGAUUACUAUGAAAUAGAUGAAGAUUAGAUAUUAAUUCUACAAUUUGCCCAUAUUUUAUUUUCAUCUGUGGAUGGCAUCCCCUCCUUAUGCUGGCUCUCGAGAAAAUACCAUGAUUGUGACUUAGGUAUGCAGUAAGUCCAUGGAUGGUGGUUGUAGCAAAAACAUGGACAGCACGAAAGGCAAAUCCAUAUUUAAAUACUCUAUUCCAAUGAGAAAAAAAUGGCCGCUCCUUCCACGAUGGAAGUGAUCCAAUGUAAUCAACUUGCCACCAGAUCACUAGCUGGUCCCCUUGGGGAGAGGAGACAUUGUAACCAUAUGAGCCUUAAAGAGUGGAAGUCCGCAUUGUUGAGCUCAUGCAUAUUUUCCAUUCAUCAAAGUGCCAUAGCCACUUGGGUUGAUGUUCAGAGGCAGUGUUCAGUAAUCUCUAAAAGUCUAGUUAUUUCCCCUUCUCUAAAGCAAAACCUGGUAACCUGCUGGAAGACUAUUUUAGGGUAGCAGAGUUCUUUCUAAAGGGGACUGUGGCAGAUUGUUUUUUCCAAACAUGGCUCUGUUGAGUGUAGUUCAUCUCACGUGUUUUUCUUUAUGAUAUGCUGUUGAGAUUACUCCACUGAGUGGUAGGGCCUAUGAUCUCUUUCUCUAAAUAUGGGCUGGUCUUAGUUCUAAAACACAGAACAUGGCUGUAAUAGUAAAUUUUAUGUGCCAGUGUAACUCUGCUAAGGGAAUGCCAGAUACCUGGUAAAACAUUAUUUCUGGGUGUGUCUGUGAGGGUGUCUCUGGAAGAGAUUAGCAAUUGAAUUGGUGAACUGAGUAAAUCAGAUGGUCCUCCCCAGUUUGGGUGGGCAAUUGCCAAUCUGCUGACGGUCUAGAUAGACGGCCUAGGGCGAAUUCUCUCUGCUUAAACUGAGACAUCCAUUUUUUCUUGCCCUUAGACAUCAAUGCUCCUGGUUCUUGGGCAUUCAGACUCACAUCAGGGUUUACACCAUUAGCUGCCCCCACCCCUCUCUGCCUCCAUUCUUAGGCCUCUGGACUCAGACUGAAUUAUACUACUGGAUUUCCUGUUUCUGCAGCUUGCAGAUGGCAGAUCGUGGGACUUCUCAGCCUCUAUAACCAUGUGAGGCAAUUUCUAUAAUAAAUCUCCGCUUCUAUCUAUCUAUAUAUAUCCUAUUGGUUCUGUUUCUCUAGAGAACCCUGACUAAUACAAUGGCAGUAGUGAUGGUUGGCAUGAGGCUAGGUUAAAAAAAGCAAUACAGUUUCCAUAUGGUUCUCUCUCUUUCUCUUUUUCCUUCUCUGUCUCUCUCUCUCUUUCUCUCCACACACACACACACAGCACACAUACACACACAAUACAUGAAUAUAUAUACAUAUCACACACAUAUAUGCACAUCACACACAUGCACACGUAUAUGCAUGACAUGUGCCUUGGGAAUUCUGAGCCAACCUAUAAGAAGUCUACCAGCUAUCCUGAAACUGCCAUUCUGGACAGACCACAUGUGAAGUUUCCAUAUAGAGAGAGAUGGUUGAGGGGCCCAGUUGUUCCAGUCCUUGGCUGUUUGCGUCCUCUGAGCUUUAACAGCCAGACAUCUGGAUGAGACUUCAGAUGAUUUCAGCCCCCAGCCUUUCAGUUGCCCAGCUGAUGCCAAGUAGAAUAGAGAUGAGCUAUUUCCACUGAGCCCUGACCAAAAUGCAGAUUUAUGAGCAGAAUAAAUGAUGUUUUAAGCACCAA